GUCUUGCGGGGUUGUUCCGUGUUUUUCUGUGCCCCGAUUGUGUUGGGGCGCGCGGUGGUGGGCUUUGUGGCGGGGGCAAGGCGUGGCUUGCUCGGAUGCGCUGGGGGCUUCGAUCCCCCAACGACGUGGAACGCCUCGGUUUGUGGUUUCCAAGGGCCCGGUGCACCGGUUCACUUUUGGGAAGCAAAGCAGCCCCUACCCCCACGAAUCCCGAAUCACUUCUGUGCCGGUGGCUGGGGGGAGGUGCCUGCAACAUCGGAAAGCCAGAGUGAUUCAUCGCUACUCAUGUCUGCGGUCGGGUCCUGGAUGGCUUUGCGUCGGGGUGGCGUGCGACAGUGGGGGCGGUUUCGCCAUUUAUGUGAUGGGCAGCGUGCAAGCGAGACUCGAACGUACCCAACCCAGCCCGUACACUUUCCGCUACUGUGAGGAGCCUGCGCCACCCCGAGGGGGAUACCCUGGGACUGGCGACAAACAUGGUGGGGGAGCAGUUAAAAGGUGACCCGCGGGGCGGUGUUUUGAGUGUGCGGCGGGGGUCGUGCCCAGAUGAUUGGGGGAGGGAGCUCUUUUACUCUAAUACGCGUGUUCACGGCUACUUCGCACCACGCGGUGGGGCGUGCGGCGGGACGGGGGCAGGCUCGUGCCCUAUGGCGGUGGGUGGGCGCGAUGAAAGGGUAGCUUGGACGAUGUUGUGCGUGCCGCGGCCUCGGGCAGCAAGACGCCUUCCGUCGGGUGUUGAAUCUUAGUGUGUGGCGCGGUGUGCUGUGGCAUGCUUCCGAGUGAGACGAUGCUCGAGAGCAGUAGGCUUUGCACAGGAGUUUGAUAGGACAGCGCAUUUGAAGGGAACCUCCGUUCCACUUUUCGAUGUUAGCGUCGAAGUAGCAAAUGGUGGUGGUUACUGUCUUCGGCGGUUUCGUCUGCAGGCUAAAAGGCAUGUGGGGGGGGGGGACUGGCAGCCAAGUGGGGAAGAUGGAAUGCUUCGAAAGGUCACGACGAAGUAACACGGGGCUGUGGAAACAAAGCAGUUGGCCCAGAACGCCGCGAGUAGGCGCUUCGGGUCAGAAGCACUCGUGAGCAAGAGACGGAUGCAGGUUAUCUCCCGUGAGACUUCGAAGGAGCUACUGCGGACACAAAGGAUGUCGAAGCUGAAAUCCUCACACAACUCUCCCUCGUGUUUACAAUGGCUGCAUGCAUUGAUCGGUAAGGGCGGGCAAUUCUUAAGAUUAUUCGUGCGUCUUGAAGCGCUUGGUGUGUUGAGUGAUUAUCAGAGAAAAAGGUGGUAGGGAGGGCGUUUUGUUGCUAAAGUGUAUCUCUGUGAAGGGGAUUACAUCUAAUCACGAGAUUUUAAUCGCAUCCACGCCGUGCUGCUCAACUCGAAUUCUUGCACGCUUUUGCUUUUCCCGGCUUUCACUUUCGCAUUCUCACGCGCUGCGAGAUGGUCUGUGAAGGGUGGUAAACGCGCCUGCGGUCGUUUAUGUGCCGUCUUCGGUCGCUUUCCCUCCGAUUGUUAUCAUCCUUGUACUCGCAGUCACCAAUACGAUUACUUAUGCUUGGAAUCUCUUGUAUUUCUGGUUGUCAAUUAG
Molecule: unclassified non-coding RNA, 1580 nt
Filed under: Leishmania donovani
Lineage: Eukaryota; Euglenozoa; Kinetoplastea; Trypanosomatida; Trypanosomatidae
Description: gene:unknown
Source: RNAcentral